GUGGGGAAUAUUGGACAAUGGGCGAAAGCCUGAUCCAGCCAUGCCGCGUGUGUGAAGAAGGUCUUCGGAUUGUAAAGCACUUUAAGUUGGGAGGAAGGGCAGUAAGUUAAUACCUUGCUGUUUUGACGUUACCAACAGAAUAAGCACCGGCUAACUUCGUGCCAGCAGCCGCGGUAAUACGAAGGGUGUAAGCGUUAAUCGGAAUUACUGGGCGUAAAGCGCGCGUAGGUGGUUUUGUAAGUUGGAGGUGAAAUCCCCGGGCUCAACCUGGGAACUGCCUCAAAAACUGCAUGACUAGAGUACGGUAGAGGGUAGUGGAAUUUCCUGUGUAGCGGUGAAAUGCGUAGAUAUAGGAAGGAACACCAGUGGCGAAGGCGACUACCUGGACUGAUACUGACACUGAGGUGCGAAAGCGUGGGGAGCAAACAGGAUUAGAUACCCCAGUAGUCC
RNAcentral lists this ribosomal RNA (450 nucleotides) under uncultured bacterium. RNAcentral describes it as "partial 16S ribosomal RNA". It matches the Rfam family "Bacterial small subunit ribosomal RNA", at positions 354 to 796 of the family's 1533-position model. The record is from RNAcentral.